GAUGAACGCUAGCGGGAGGCCUAACACAUGCAAGCCGAGCGGUAUUUGUUCUUCGGAACAGAGAGAGCGGCGCACGGGUGCGGAACACGUGUGCAACCUGCCUUUAUCUGGGGGAUAGCCUUUCGAAAGGAAGAUUAAUACCCCAUAAUAUAUUGAGUGGCAUCCUUUGAUAUUGAAAACUCCGGUGGAUAGAGAUGGGCACGCGCAAGAUUAGAUAGUUGGUGAGGUAACGGCUCACCAAGUCAAUGAUCUUUAGGGGGCCUGAGAGGGUGAUCCCCCACACUGGUACUGAGACACGGACCAGACUCCUACGGGAGGCAGCAGUGAGGAAUAUUGACAAUGGGUUAGCGCCUGAUCCAGCCAUCCCGCGUGAAGGACGACGGCCCUAUGGGUUGUAAACUUCUUUUGUAUAGGGAUAAACCUACUCUCGUGAGAGUAGCUGAAGGUACUAUACGAAUAAGCACCGGCUAACUCCGUG
RNAcentral lists this ribosomal RNA (478 nucleotides) under uncultured bacterium. RNAcentral describes it as "partial 16S ribosomal RNA". It matches the Rfam family "Bacterial small subunit ribosomal RNA", at positions 28 to 507 of the family's 1533-position model. The record is from RNAcentral.